RNAcentral lists this unclassified non-coding RNA (326 nucleotides) under plant metagenome. Its description in RNAcentral is "partial contains 5.8S ribosomal RNA, internal transcribed spacer 2, and large subunit ribosomal RNA". The record is from RNAcentral.
UCCCUUCUCUCCUUCCUUUUCCUUUCCUCCUUCCUUUCCUCCUCUCCUCUUUUCCCUCCCCUUUCGCCCUCUGGUAUUCCGGGGGGCAUGCCUGUCCGAGCGUCAUUGCGAACCCCUCAAGCACGGCUUGUGUGAUGGGCCUCUCGCGUCCUGGGAUCCCCCGGGACGGGUCCGAAUAGCAGUGGCGGCGACGCGGUUUAUCCGAUCAGCCAGAGCGUAUGGGGACUCUCCGUCACACGUCUCGCGGCGCGGACCGACGUCUGCCUAUUGAUCAAUCUUUUCUCGGUUGACCUCGGAUCAGGUAGGGAUACCCGCUGAACUUAAGC